UUUCCGUAGGUGAACCUGCGGAAGGAUCAUUAAAAAAUUGGACUCCAUUGGUGAGUUCAUUAAUAAUCCUACCCUUUUGUGAAUUUGUUUGUUUGAAUAAUUUUUUUCCAAAAAAAAUUAUUGAAUGUCUUUCCCUGUUUUGGUGGAGCUUGUAAAGUGAAACCAGGCAGGGGAAUGGCAAACAAUAAUUAUUUUUGAAAAAGACCUUUUUUAAAAUUAAACUUUUUGUAUUCAUUUGUCUAAAAUUAUUUUUAUAAUAUAAAAACAACUUUUGACAAUGGAUCUCUUGGUUCUCGCAACGAUGAAGAACGCAGCAAAAUGCGAUAAGUAGUGUGAAUUGCAGAAUACGUGAAUCAUCGAAUCUUCGAACGCAUAUUGCACUUUUUUAGUUUACUAAAAAAGUAUGUCUGUUUGAGUAUCAGUAAAAUAUUCUCAUAAAAAAUUUAUUUUUUAUGGUUAUGAGUGUUUUACAACGAUAACAAGUUGUUUCACUUUAAAUUCUUUGUUAUCAAAAAAAUCAUUAAAAGCUAAUUUUAAAGAUUUUUUAAAAUUGGAUAAAAUUUUCCCGUAAAAAGGAAUAACCUAAACAAUUUUAAAAAAUUAAAAUUGGUUUGAUUUUUCUUGAUUUAAAAGGAAAAAAAAGUAAAAAUUAACUUGAUCUCAAAUCAGAUAAGAGUACCCGCUGAACUUAAGCAUAUCAAUAAGCGGAGGAAAAGAAACUAACUAGGAUUCCCUCAGUAACGGCGAGUGAAGCGGGAAGAGCUCAAAUUUGAAAUCUUCAAGGUUUUACCUUGACGAAUUGUAGUUUAAAGAAGUGUUUUCUGUUGGAGUUUUGGUAAAAGUUCUUUGGAAAAGGACAUCAUAGAGGGUGAGAAUCCCGUAUUUGACCAUUAUCUCCAGCUUUGUGAUACACUUUCAAAGAGUCGGAUUGUUUGGGAAUGCAGUCCAAAAUGGGUGGUAAAUUUCAUCUAAAGCUAAAUACUGGCGAGAGACCGAUAGCGAACAAGUACCGUGAGGGAAAGAUGAAAAGAACUUUGAAAAGAGAGUUAAACAGUACGUGAAAUUGUCAAAAGGGAAGCGUUUGACACCAGUGUUGUUUUCUCGAAAAUCAAUUAAAAAAGGCCGGAUUUUGUGUUGUAUUGACUUUAUCAGCUUUCUGCACUUUUUCUUGUCUUUUUUAAUGCACUUUUCGUUUAACAAGUCAACAUCAAUUUCUUUUGUUGUAAAAGGGUCAUUGGAAGGUGGCUUUCUUUUCGGAGAAAGUGUUUAUAGCCUUUGGCCUCUGCAAUCGGAGAGAUUGAGGUCUGCAGCGUAGAUCCUUCGGGGUUAGAUACAUUUGUGCUAAGUUAUAGCCUUUCAUAGACAACUUGUUGACUAUGAUCAGUCAUGUAGCUUACUCGCUUAUGCUAUUUUACCUACGCUUAGGAUGUUG
RNAcentral lists this unclassified non-coding RNA (1432 nucleotides) under uncultured Neocallimastigales. RNAcentral's name for it is "partial contains small subunit ribosomal RNA, internal transcribed spacer 1, 5.8S ribosomal RNA, internal transcribed spacer 2, and large subunit ribosomal RNA". The stretch from base 656 to 1432 matches the Rfam family "Eukaryotic large subunit ribosomal RNA", at positions 1 to 628 of the family's 3401-position model. The record is from RNAcentral. Lineage: Eukaryota; Fungi; Neocallimastigomycota; Neocallimastigomycetes; Neocallimastigales.